GUGGGGAAUUUUGGACAAUGGGGGAAACCCUGAUCCAGCAAUGCCGCGUGAGUGAAGAAGGCCUUAGGGUUGUAAAACUCUUUCACCCGUGAAGAUGAUGACGGUAGCGGGAGAAGAAGCUCCGGCUAACUCCGUGCCAGCAGCCGCGGUAAUACGGAGGGGGCUAGCGUUGCUCGGAAUUACUGGGCGUAAAGCGCGCGUAGGCGGUGGACCAAGUUAGGCGUGAAAGGCCUGGGCUCAACCCAGGAACUGCGUUUGAUACUGGUUCGCUAGAAUCCGAGAGAGGGUAGUGGAAUUCCCAGUGUAGAGGUGAAAUUCGUAGAUAUUGGGAAGAACACCGGUGGCGAAGGCGGCUACCUGGCUCGGUAUUGACGCUGAAGUGCGAAAGCGUGGGGAGCAAACAGGAUUAGAUACCCGUGUAGUCC
RNAcentral lists this ribosomal RNA (425 nucleotides) under uncultured bacterium. RNAcentral describes it as "bacterial SSU rRNA". It matches the Rfam family "Bacterial small subunit ribosomal RNA", at positions 354 to 796 of the family's 1533-position model. The record is from RNAcentral.